This 1053-nucleotide long non-coding RNA is filed under the name Suricata suricatta (meerkat). RNAcentral describes it as "lncRNA (ENSSSUG00005016364.1)". Lineage: Eukaryota; Metazoa; Chordata; Mammalia; Carnivora; Herpestidae. The record is from RNAcentral.
AUGAAUGUGUUUCUCUGUGAAGCAGCCAAAGAAGACACAGGAAAGGCAAGAGUGAAGUCUGUUCAAAUGGGUGCCACACACAUGGCAGAUGCACGACUUUGCCUUGCUUUUCCUGGUCUCUGGGGUUCCACACCACACGAAGCACUGAUAGAUCACCCGCAGUUCCUGCCUCCAGUUCUCUCCCACCUUAAAGCUGUUCACGUGGGAACAGCCUGGUGGACCCACAGCGAAAUCCACAUCCAGGCAUCCACCCCCAGGGCCGCGCCGGGGCCGGGGCCGGGGCGCGGGCCGUGGCCUAGGCUGCGGCGGGGUACGGAGCCGGGUCUGCGGCCGCGGCCGGGGUCGGCGGCGGGGGGCACGACUGCGCCGCGGAGAGGGAUCGGGGGGCCGCGGGGGUUCGGAGGGAAGGGUGGGGGGAGGAACCUCGUCGCUGCUGCCGCCACCGCCGCUCCGCGCUGGGUUCUCAUCAUCCAGCUCCUGCUUAGGCUCCCUCUUCGUCUCCUGCUCUGCCUCCGGUACGGGCUCGGGUUCGGGCUCCAGCUUGAGCUCAGCCCGGCGGCCCGGACCCUCCGCGGUCUCUACGUUCCCGGCGGCGUCCACCUUCCCCGCCGCCUCCACCUUCCCCUCCGCCUUCUCCGCCGUCUCCGCCGUCUCCGCCUCCUCUACCUCCUCCGCCUCCACUGGCGGCGGCUCCUCCCCCUGCUCGCUGGGCUCUAGCGGCCACUGGGCGUGGCGGCGCGGGGGCCACGCAGACCUGGGGUGUCCCCCGCCCGGCCUGAGGGAGCGCGGUGGCUGUGACAGCUGGACCCAAAAGGGACUUUCACUGAAGGAGGCGGCGGCGGAAGCAGGCGACGCCCCCCGGGAAUCCUCCCGCCGUAGCCCCCUAGCGGAGGCCGCUUCAGCACCAGGCCCCGUUUCCUUUAAUUCAGUAUUUCCCAAACUUGCUUGUUCACGAGGAUCACGUGGGGAGCGUGUUAAAAUUACAGAUUCUUCGGCUCCACCCGCAGACCUACUGAAUCAGAAUCGCGAAGGGAGGUGCUCCGGAACCUGUAU